UUUAUGCACGUGGUAGGAGAGCGUUCUAGCGGCGGUGAAGCAUGACCGAGAGGACAUGUGGAGCUUCUAGAAGUGAGAAUGCCGGUAUGAGUAACGAAAGACAGGUGAGAAUCCUGUCCGCCGCAAGACUAAGGUUUCCUGGGGCAGGCUCGUCCGCCCAGGGUAAGUCGGGACCUAAGGCGAGGCCGAGAGGCGUAGUCGAUGGACAACAGGUUGAAAUUCCUGUACUGCACCGAAUCGUUAUGAGCGAUGGAGGGACGCAGGAGGCUAGCAGCGCGUGGUGCUGGAUACCACGUUCAAGCGUCAAGUCUGAGAGCGAGUCAAAUGCUUGCUCUCAUAAGGACAAGGCGUGAUGAGGAGCGAAAUUAAAGUAGCGAAGGCUGCGACGUCACACUGCCGAGAAAAGCUUCUAGCCAGAGACGGUGCACCCGUACCGCAAACCGACACAGGUAGUCGAGGAGAGUAUCCUCAGGUGAGCGAGAGAACUCUCGUUAAGGAACUCGGCAAAAUGGCCCCGUAACUUCGGGAGAAGGGGCGCUGGUCGCAAGAUCAGCCGCAGUGAAAAGGCCCAAGCAACUGUUUAUCAAAAACACAGGCAUCUGCAAAAUCGUAAGAUGAAGUAUAGGUGCUGACACCUGCCCGGUGCUGGAAGGUUAAGAGGAGAGCUUAGCGCAAGCGAAGGUUUGAAUUGAAGCCCCAGUAAACGGCGGCCGUAACUAUAACGGUCCUAAGGUAGCGAAAUUCCUUGUCGGGUAAGUUCCGACCUGCACGAAAGGUGUAAUGAUUUGGGCACUGUCUCAACGAGAGACUCGGUGAAAUUAUAAUACCCGUGAAGAUGCGGGUUACCCGCGACAGGACGGAAAGACCCCAUGGAGCUUUACUGCAGUUUAAUAUUGGGUAUCUGUCAAGCAUGUACAGGAUAGGUAGGAGCCGGAGAAGAUAGGACGCCAGUCUUAUCUGAGGCGCUGUUGGGAUACUACCCUUGCUUGACGGAUGCUCUAACUCAGGCCUGUGAUCCAGGCCGAGGACAGUGUUUGACGGGCAGUUUGACUGGGGCGGUCGCCUCCUAAAGUGUAACGGAGGCGCCCAAAGGUUCCCUCAGAAUGGUUGGAAAUCAUUCGCAGAGUGUAAAGGUAAAAGGGAGCUUGACUGCGAGAGAGACAACUCGAGCAGGUACGAAAGUAGGGCUUAGUGAUCUGGUGGUACCGUAUGGAAGGGCCAUCACUCAACGGAUAAAAGCUACCCUGGGGAUAACAGGCUUAUCUCCCCCAAGAGUUCACAUCGACGGGGAGGUUUGGCACCUCGAUGUCGGCUCGUCGCAUCCUGGGGCUGAAGUCGGUCCCAAGGGUUGGGCUGUUCGCCCAUUAAAGCGGCACGCGAGCUGGGUUCAGAACGUCGUGAGACAGUUCGGUCCCUAUCCGUCGUGGGCGUAGGAAAUUUGAGAGGAGCUGUCCUUAGUACGAGAGGACCGGGAUGGACGCACCGCUGGUGUACCAGUUGUCUUGCCAAAGGCAUCGCUGGGUAGCUAUGUGCGGACGGGAUAAGCGCUGAAAGCAUCUAAGUGCGAAGCCCCCCUCAAGAUGAGAUUUCCCAUUUCUUCAAGAAAGUAAGACACCUCAGAGACGAUGAGGUAGAUAGGCCGGGAGUGGAAGAGCCGUGAGGCUUGGAGCGGACCGGUACUAAUCAGUCGAGGACUUGACCAAAA
RNAcentral lists this ribosomal RNA (1705 nucleotides) under Lactobacillus delbrueckii subsp. bulgaricus. RNAcentral describes it as "partial 23S ribosomal RNA". It matches the Rfam family "Bacterial large subunit ribosomal RNA", at positions 1216 to 2925 of the family's 2925-position model. Lineage: Bacteria; Bacillati; Bacillota; Bacilli; Lactobacillales; Lactobacillaceae. The record is from RNAcentral.